AGUGAACGCUGGCGGUAGGCCUAACACAUGCAAGUCGAACGGCAGCACAGUAAGAGCUUGCUCUUACGGGUGGCGAGUGGCGGACGGGUGAGGAAUACAUCGGAAUCUACUUUUUCGUGGGGGAUAACGUAGGGAAACUUACGCUAAUACCGCAUACGACCUACGGGUGAAAGCAGGGGAUCUUCGGACCUUGCGCGAUUGAAUGAGCCGAUGUCGGAUUAGCUAGUUGGCGGGGUAAAGGCCCACCAAGGCGACGAUCCGUAGCUGGUCUGAGAGGAUGAUCAGCCACAAUUGAACUGAGACACGGUCCCGACUCCCACGGGAGGCAGCAGUGGGGAAUAUUGGACAAUGGGCGCAAGCCUGAUCCAGCCAUACCGCGUGGGUGAAGAAGGCCUUCGGGUUGUAAAGCCCUUUUGUUGGGAAAGAAAAGCAGCAGGUUAAUACCCCGCUGUUCUGACGGUACCCAAAGAAUAAGCACCGGCUAACUUCGUG
RNAcentral lists this ribosomal RNA (492 nucleotides) under uncultured bacterium. Its description in RNAcentral is "partial 16S ribosomal RNA". It matches the Rfam family "Bacterial small subunit ribosomal RNA", at positions 29 to 507 of the family's 1533-position model. The record is from RNAcentral.